This 497-nucleotide ribosomal RNA is filed under the name uncultured bacterium. Its description in RNAcentral is "partial 16S ribosomal RNA". It matches the Rfam family "Bacterial small subunit ribosomal RNA", at positions 28 to 507 of the family's 1533-position model. The record is from RNAcentral.
GAUGAACGCUGGCGGCGUGCCUAAUACAUGCCAGUCGAGCGAACGGACGAGAAGCUUGCUUCUCUGAUGUUAGCGGCGGACGGGUGAGUAACACGUGGAUAACCUACCUAUAAGACUGGGAUAACUUCGGGAAACCGGAGCUAAUACCGGAUAAUAUUUUGAACCGCAUGGUUCAAAAGUGAAAGACGGUCUUGCUGUCACUUAUAGAUGGAUCCGCGCUGCAUUAGCUAGUUGGUAAGGUAACGGCUUACCAAGGCAACGAUGCAUAGCCGACCUGAGAGGGUGAUCGGCCACACUGGAACUGAGACACGGUUCAGACUCCUACGGGAGGCAGCAGUAGGGAAUCUUCCGCAAUGGGCGAAAGCCUGACGGAGCAACGCCGCGUGAGUGAUGAAGGUCUUCGGAUCGUAAAACUCUGUUAUUAGGGAAGAACAUAUGUGUAAGUAACUGUGCACAUCUUGACGGUACCUAAUCAGAAAGCCACGGCUAACUACGUG